Molecule: ribosomal RNA, 406 nt
Filed under: uncultured bacterium
Lineage: Bacteria
Description: partial 16S ribosomal RNA
Rfam family: Bacterial small subunit ribosomal RNA
Source: RNAcentral
AUUGAACGCUGGCGGCAGGCCUAACACAUGCAAGUCGAGCGAGCGGCGGACGGGUGAGUAAUGUCUGGGAAACUGCCUGAUGGAGGGGGAGAAAUACUGGAAACGGUAGCUAAUAACGCAUACCAUCAGAUGUGCCCAGAUGGGCUUAGCUAGUAGGUGGGGUACUGGCUUACCUAGGCGACGAUCCCGAGCUGGUCUGAGAGGAUGACCGGCCACACUGUAACGGAGACACGGUCCAGACUCCUACGGGAGGCAGCAGUGGGGAAUAUUGCACAAUGGGCGCAAGCCUGAUGCAGCCAUGCCGCGUGUGUGAAGAAGGCCUUCGGUUUGUAAAUCACUGUCAGCGGGGAGGCGUUACCCGCUGAGAAAGCCCCGGCUAACUCCGUGCCAGCAGCCGCGGUAAUUC